RNAcentral lists this ribosomal RNA (114 nucleotides) under Spirochaetales bacterium. Lineage: Bacteria; Pseudomonadati; Spirochaetota; Spirochaetia; Spirochaetales. The record is from RNAcentral.
CCUGGUGACCAUAGAGAAGUGGAAACACCCGUUCCCAUCCCGAACACGACCGUGAAACACUUCUUCGCCGAUGGUACUGAGCUUCUUGCUUGGGAGAGUAGGUCGUCGCCAGGU